This 326-nucleotide small nuclear RNA is filed under the name Octodon degus (degu). RNAcentral's name for it is "7SK RNA (ENSODEG00000023633.1)". It matches the Rfam family "7SK RNA". From Rfam's summary of the family: 7SK was discovered as an abundant small nuclear RNA in the mid-70s but a possible function has only recently been suggested. Two independent studies have found that 7SK RNA binds the CDK9/cyclin T complex (known as elongation factor P-TEFb). Lineage: Eukaryota; Metazoa; Chordata; Mammalia; Rodentia; Octodontidae. The record is from Rfam by way of RNAcentral.
GAAUGUGAUGGUGACCUGGUUGGAACAUCUGUCACCCCACCGAUCACCAGGUUCGAUUCACCUGAUCUAGCUGAACAGGCAAGUGUCCUCUUCCUCUAUCAAUGCUCCAUGUGUUUUUCUUCUCAAGCUGCAAGCUCGGCUUGAAGAGGAUGACUACCCUGAUAUAGGAGGAUCAUACCUUGGUCAAGGGUAUAUGAAGAUCUGUGUUCCUCUUCUAGAACCUGCAAACAGGUUCUCAAGAUGUUCUAUGUCUGAGCCAGCCAGAUAGCGCAGUGGACUAUAGCACCUGAUUAGGCAGACGCAUGAAUCUGGGUUUGAUCCCCGGU